This is a long non-coding RNA of Aedes albopictus (Asian tiger mosquito), 1267 nucleotides long. RefSeq lists it as uncharacterized. The record is from RefSeq and is a predicted model, not a curated record. NCBI's taxonomy places the organism in Eukaryota, Metazoa, Arthropoda, Insecta, Diptera, Culicidae. The transcript is spliced from 2 exons.
CUCCUGAGGUCUGUAAAAGGUCACAUGUAUCAAUUUACCACCGAAUGCACCAUAAUCUGAGCCACGUGGAGGAGACCUAUCGUAAAAGGGGAGCUCAAGCAGUAAGUACCCACCCUCAGUGAGCAAUAACAAAACAUCUCCCCCAUUGCAGCCAAUGCAACCGACCAACAGCAGUAGUAAGUGAACGUUCAAGUAGUAUAGUCGUGCGCUCCAACUACCCCAACUUUUUUUUGUUGCUUAGUACUUGUUUUGUCUCCCCUACAUAGUUUAAGCUCAUACAAAUACCAACAAACAGAAACAACACACGCGUGUGCAAUAUAGCGACGACAAUGAUGGGGCAAAAUUUGAUCGUUCAACUGAAAAGCAUUUGCGCGUUUGGGAAAUCAAGUGAACUGCUGCUCGUUCUGAGAGGGGAAUUUCAGAACUCUGGGGCAGCUGACCGGCAGUAGAGGCGUCACAGCGAGUUAUUGGAAAAUUGCACCAGCCAGAGCCAGAGAAUGUUUUCGUUGUUUGUUGUAGAUCGAAGCUGAUUACGAUAAUGGCUCGAGCUGGGUUCGGUUUUCCUAUGUGAAUCUCGGAACAAUUUGUGUUUGAAAUCACAUCAUAUGAACGGAAAGUUGAACUGAUUGAACUCAAAUCUAUGAUAUUAGAGUAACAUAUUUUACAAAGAGUUGCAUCUGAACAGUGUAGUGUAAAAAAAGAGUGUCUGACAAAUAAGUCAUAUACUGAAAAAUUAAAAAAAAAAUGAAUAAUUUUUCAUCUGAACAAGAUAUAAGUGAAAAAAAAAAACCAAUAAGGGGCGAUUUCUUCACCCUGGCUUAAGCGUUAAACCAGGUUUAACUAUAUGGGUAAGCCUGGCUUACCGGUUAAGCCGAGGUGAAGAAAUCGGCCAUAAAUGAAAGAGCUCACCAUAUCCCGUACAAAGUACAUGCAAGUACUAAUAAAAAGCCUAAUUCUAAUGUUGGAGCAUCAAUCAUAAAUCAAAUAAAUAAAGCAAACCAAUCGUUUGGUUGUCACCAUAAAGGAGCAUUCUACCAGCGAUGAAACGAUUCUGUAAUGCAAUGAAGUGACCAGCAGCAGCCCACUCGUGCAGCUGAACGAUGUUGAAGACGAUACGAAACACAAGAUUUCGUCCUGGUCGUAUAAGCGAGCUCUGAGUUUCAUGAACUAUCCAUUGGGCGAUCAAGUCCGUUAAACAAUGUUUCCGUUUCCUAAUGUUAAUUUAAAAACCUGAAUAUAAUUUUAAACUAAAUUUACCGAAACGUAA